GAACGCAUGACUUAAAACGCUCUAGUGCUGUCACUAUGGGUUUACUGAGCAUACUCUCUUCCGCGUAGGGAGGGAGGUCCUUGCAUUCUGGGCCUACUUGUAGGUUGAGGUAGUUUGAUAUAGCUAUCAACGGACUAGAUUCUGGGGAAACCUGGCACGCGAUGGGCUUGCUGACCCCAUUGAAAUGGGCGCGUACUAAUGGGUACCGAGCAUCUGACAUGGAUGCUAGUUACGGAGCAACCGAGCAGGAAGAGGAGAACGGGGGAGGCAGUGGCCCGAUAAGAAGCGGAAACCGGGGUGGAGGCGCGGAGGGAGGCGGCGGAUGAGGGGAACGGGGGAGGCAGUGGCCCGAUAGGAAGCGGAAACCGGGGUGGAGGCGCGGAGGGAGGCGGCGGAAGAGGGGAACGGGGGAGGCAGUGGCCCGAUAGGAAGCGGAAACCGGGGUGGAGGCGCGGAGGGAGGCGGCGGAAGAGGGGAACGGGGGAGGCAGUGGCCCGAUAGGAAGCGGAGGCGCCGUGGGGGGGCGGCGACGUAGGGCGCGGGGGCGGCGGCCCGAGGGCGCGGCGGCGGCGGAUCGGGGAAGAAGAGAUGUGGCUAAGUGUUGUGUUGGACGAAGGGGCCGGCCUCUUAAACCCCCCCCCCCACCUCGGGGAAGC
RNAcentral lists this long non-coding RNA (656 nucleotides) under Setaria italica (foxtail millet). RNAcentral describes it as "long non-coding RNA (SITA_LNC003319)". Lineage: Eukaryota; Viridiplantae; Streptophyta; Magnoliopsida; Poales; Poaceae. The record is from RNAcentral.